AGAUUAAACUGAAGAGUUUGAUCCUGGCUCAGAUUGAACGCUGGCGGCAUGCCUUACACAUGCAAGUCGAACGGCAGCGCGGGGCAACCUGGCGGCGAGUGGCGAACGGGUGAGUA
Molecule: ribosomal RNA, 116 nt
Filed under: Duganella sp. BJB480
Lineage: Bacteria; Pseudomonadati; Pseudomonadota; Betaproteobacteria; Burkholderiales; Oxalobacteraceae
Also listed under: 8 other names
Description: partial 16S ribosomal RNA
Rfam family: Bacterial small subunit ribosomal RNA
Source: RNAcentral